This 855-nucleotide ribosomal RNA is filed under the name Bizionia berychis. RNAcentral describes it as "bacterial SSU rRNA". It matches the Rfam family "Bacterial small subunit ribosomal RNA", at positions 14 to 870 of the family's 1533-position model. Lineage: Bacteria; Pseudomonadati; Bacteroidota; Flavobacteriia; Flavobacteriales; Flavobacteriaceae. The record is from RNAcentral.
UGAUUCAUGGCUCAGGAUGAACGCUAGCGGCAGGCUUAACACAUGCAAGUCGAGGGGUAACAGGUAGCUUGCUAUGCUGACGACCGGCGCACGGGUGAGUAACGCGUAUACAAUCUGCCUUGUACUGAGGGAUAGCCCAGAGAAAUUUGGAUUAAUACCUCAUAGUAUAUAGCCUCCACCUGGAGAUUAUAUUAAAGGUUACGGUACAAGAUGAGUAUGCGUUCUAUUAGCUAGAUGGUAAGGUAACGGCUUACCAUGGCAACGAUAGAUAGGGGCCCUGAGAGGGGGAUCCCCCACACUGGUACUGAGACACGGACCAGACUCCUACGGGAGGCAGCAGUGAGGAAUAUUGGACAAUGGGCGAGAGCCUGAUCCAGCCAUGCCGCGUGCAGGAUGACUGCCCUAUGGGUUGUAAACUGCUUUUAUACAGGAAGAAACACUCCCUCGUGAGGGAGCUUGACGGUACUGUAAGAAUAAGGAUCGGCUAACUCCGUGCCAGCAGCCGCGGUAAUACGGAGGAUCCAAGCGUUAUCCGGAAUCAUUGGGUUUAAAGGGUCCGUAGGUGGAUAAUUAAGUCAGAGGUGAAAUCCUGCAGCUCAACUGUAGAAUUGCCUUUGAUACUGGUUAUCUUGAGUUAUUAUGAAGUAGUUAGAAUAUGUGGUGUAGCGGUGAAAUGCAUAGAUAUCACAUAGAAUACCAAUUGCGAAGGCAGAUUACUAAUAAUUAACUGACACUGAUGGACGAAAGCGUGGGGAGCGAACAGGAUUAGAUACCCUGGUAGUCCACGCCGUAAACGAUGGUUACUAGUUGUUCGAACUUCGGUUUGAGUGACUAAGCGAAAGUGAUAAGUAACCC